AAUAGGUGCUACGUGUAUUGAUGAAUUUUAGUAAAUAUAAUCAGAAAGCAAGUCUUUUCUUUUCUAGUCAAACCCCUUCUAUAUCUCUCUUCAAAUUCUUGACAUUGACAACACUCUGCUACUACCACAGAUAAUCAGAAACAAUGGGUUGUUUAAUAAUGAUCAUGGAGCUUUUUCUUGAGUUAGUUUCCACCGUUGUUCUUACUGCUCUGUUCUGUUACAUUAUCGGUAAGCUAAUUUCUUCUCCUCAUAGUGGUGAUUCCAAUCAUGGUGAUAGCAAACUGGGUUUUUUUGAGUGUAAGUUCUCUGUUCAAUCGGAUAUUCGUGGUUUGAAUAGUGAGGAGGAGCGAGUUGGGUUUGUUGAAAAAGUUUGUGAGGUUGAGAAAUCCGAAGGUGGGUUGGUUGCCGCUGCUCAGGAAUUUGCUGAUCGUGAUUUUGGGUCUGUAGAAUUACGAAACCUUUUCGAGACUGAAGGAGAAUAUGAGAGUGUUGUUGAGGAAGAAAGUUAUGGAGGUAAUGGUGGGAUUAAUGAGAGAGCGGGUGAGUUGUUUGAUGGAAGUUCUGAAAGGGAUAUAAUUGAAGAGAUUGAGGAGUGUACGGGCACCAAUGAGAAAGAGGGUCUGGCUAAAUGUGAUGAAAUUGAGGUGGCUGAAUUUGAUGAAGUGGACAAUUAUGGAGGUGGUGAUGAUGCAAAGGGGGGUUUGUUUGAUGAAGAUGAUGAUUGGGUGGGAAUAGAAAGAACUGAGUUGGAGAGGCUGUUCGGUGCAGCAAUGGGGUAUGUUGGUUCCUCUAGUAAUGUGGAUAGAGUUUCAGCUCUUGAUAAUGAUGUGAAGAUGAUGUUAUAUGGGCUUUACAAGAUUGCUACUCAAGGACCUUGCCUUGAUCCUCAACCAAUGGCAUUGAAUUUUUUCGCAAGAGCAAAAUGGAACGCUUGGCAACAGCUUGCUGAAAUGACUCCAGAGACGGCUAUGGAGCGUUAUAUCUCACUUCUUUCAGAAAAAAUUCCUGGGUGGAUGCAAGAUGAAUCUGGUGGAUUUAUUGAUGCUUCUGAAUUCGGAAAGCAUGAUGGUCUGAAGACAAUUGCACACAACCAACCUAUUUCAGAGAAUGGGAGAAAACUUGAAGAACUGAAGCCUCAUCACUGAAAGUACAGAUGUCACAUAAGUUGGAGUUGGGACCCAUUGAAGCAACUAGUGAACAUUUUCUAGGAGUGGAAAUCACUUAUACUAGGAAAACUAGCAAUUUCAUGACGUGCAAACAUAACAUGCCUUUGUCUCCAAUUCAAGACAAACAAUAAUUGGCGCUUUUAUGUCUUCUACACCCUUUAGCACCAUGGGAGCUUCUUCUACAGCAGUAGAUGAAUUGACCGCUAUUCAAAGGAGAAGAAGGGUUCAAAAAAUUAGCCUCAUUUUAUAACAAGUACAUAUUAAAGUGUUUAUAGUUUCUGAUAAAAUAAACAUAUAUUGUGUAUAUGGCACUAGAAUUAUCCCACUCUAUUACUUAGUUUUUAAUAUUCUUUAUUUGUUUAGGUCUUUUUUAUUAUACUUAAUUGGGUCCUUACUGGGUAUAUAAUUAUAUGAAGAUUAGUGUUAUUACUUUCCAAGUAUCUGUUUCCAAAGUAGUCAUCUUCAUUGGAGGUUUAAAAAUGUUGUGAUGGGUCUUUUAACAUUGGUGUGAAUAAAACAUAUAAAUAAGAUGGAAACGUAUAUUACAAGGCA
Cannabis sativa is the source of this 1718-nucleotide RNA transcript. It is a transcript of the gene named acyl-CoA-binding domain-containing protein 3, with no coding region annotated. NCBI's taxonomy places the organism in Eukaryota, Viridiplantae, Streptophyta, Magnoliopsida, Rosales, Cannabaceae. The record is from RefSeq and is a predicted model, not a curated record. The transcript has 7 exons.